GCCCUCAUAGCUCAACGGAUAGAGUAUCGGUCUUCGAAACCGGUGAUGGGGGUUCGAUUCCCUCUGAGGGCACAA
This 75-nucleotide transfer RNA is filed under the name Candidatus Yonathbacteria bacterium RIFOXYC2_FULL_47_9. RNAcentral describes it as "tRNA-Arg". It matches the Rfam family "tRNA". Rfam says of the family: Transfer RNA (tRNA) molecules are approximately 80 nucleotides in length. Their secondary structure includes four short double-helical elements and three loops (D, anti-codon, and T loops). Lineage: Bacteria; Candidatus Yonathiibacteriota. The record is from RNAcentral. RNAcentral also lists the same sequence under 1 other name.